AACGCACAUUGCGCCCCCUGGUAUUCCGGGGGGCAUGCCUGUCCGAGCGUCAUUACUGCCCUCAAGCACGGCUUGUGUGUUGGGCCGCCGUCCCUACUCCCCCCCCGCACCGCGGGAGAGGGUGGGACGGGCCCGAAAGGCAGUGGCGGCACCGCGUCUGGUCCUCGAGCGCAUGGGGCUUUGUCACCCGCUCUGUAGGCCAGGCCGGGGCCUGCCGACCCUCCAUCAUCCUUCUCAAGGUUGACCUCGGAUCAGGUAGGGAUACCCGCUGAACUUAA
This 278-nucleotide unclassified non-coding RNA is filed under the name uncultured Eurotiales. RNAcentral's name for it is "sequence contains 5.8S rRNA gene, ITS2, 28S rRNA gene". The stretch from base 1 to 52 matches the Rfam family "5.8S ribosomal RNA", at positions 103 to 154 of the family's 154-position model. Lineage: Eukaryota; Fungi; Ascomycota; Eurotiomycetes; Eurotiales. The record is from RNAcentral.